This 424-nucleotide ribosomal RNA is filed under the name uncultured prokaryote. RNAcentral describes it as "bacterial SSU rRNA". It matches the Rfam family "Bacterial small subunit ribosomal RNA", at positions 355 to 796 of the family's 1533-position model. The record is from RNAcentral.
UGAGGAAUAUUGGACAAUGGGGGCAACCCUGAUCCAGCCAUGCCGCGUGAGUGAAGAAGGCCUUCGGGUUGUAAAGCUCUUUCAGAUGUGACGAUGAUGACGGUAGCAUCAGAAGAAGCCCCGGCUAAAUUCGUGCCAGCAGCCGCGGUAAUACGAAUGGGGCAAGCGUUGUUCGGAAUCACUGGGCUUAAAGCGUACGCAGGCGGACAUGAAAGUCAGAAGUGAAAUCCCGGGGCUCAACCCCGGAACUGCUUUUGAAACUCCAUGUCUAGAAUCCGGGAGAGGUUGGCGGAAUUCCGAGUGUAGAGGUGAAAUUCGCAGAUAUUCGGAGGAACACCAGUGGCGAAGGCGGCCAACUGGACCGGUAUUGACGCUCAUGUACGAAAGCGUGGGGAGCAAACAGGAUUAGAUACCCCCGUAGUCC